AGUGAACGCUGGCGGUAGGCCUAACACAUGCAAGUCGAACGGCAGCACAGUAAGAGCUUGCUCUUACGGGUGGCGAGUGGCGGACGGGUGAGGAAUACAUCGGAAUCUACUUUUUCGUGGGGGAGAACGUAGGGAAACUUACGCUAAUACCGCAUACGACCUACGGGUGAAAGCAGGGGAUCUUCGGACCUUGCGCGAUUGAAUGAGCCGAUGUCGGAUUAGCUAGUUGGCGGGGUAAAGGCCCACCAAGGCGACGAUCCGUAGCUGGUCUGAGAGGAUGAUCAGCCACACUGGAACUGAGACACGGUCCAGACUCCUACGGGAGGCAGCAGUGGGGAAUAUUGGACAAUGGGCGCAAGCCUGAUCCAGCCAUACCGCGUGGGUGAAGAAGGCCUUCGGGUUGUAAAGCCCUUUUGUUGGGAAAGAAAAGCAGCAGGUUAAUACCCCGCUGUUCUGACGUUACCAAAAGAAUAAGCACCGGCUAACUUCGUG
Molecule: ribosomal RNA, 492 nt
Filed under: uncultured bacterium
Lineage: Bacteria
Description: partial 16S ribosomal RNA
Rfam family: Bacterial small subunit ribosomal RNA
Source: RNAcentral